This 838-nucleotide ribosomal RNA is filed under the name Lichenoconium aeruginosum. Its description in RNAcentral is "eukaryotic LSU rRNA". It matches the Rfam family "Eukaryotic large subunit ribosomal RNA", at positions 74 to 940 of the family's 3401-position model. Lineage: Eukaryota; Fungi; Ascomycota; Dothideomycetes; Abrothallales; Lichenoconiaceae. The record is from RNAcentral.
AUUGCCUCAGUAACGGCGAGUGAAGCGGCAACAGCUCAAAUUUGAAAUCUGGCUCCUCCGGGGUCCGAGUUGUAAUUGGCAGAGGAUGCUUCGGGGUCGGCUCCGGUCUAAGUUCCUUGGAACAGGACGUCGUAGAGGGUGAGAAUCCCGUAUGCGACCGGCGGACGCCCCCGUGUGAAGCUCCUUCGACGAGUCGAGUUGUUUGGGAAUGCAGCUCUAAAUGGGAGGUAAAUUUCUUCUAAAGCUAAAUACCGGCCAGAGACCGAUAGCGCACAAGUAGAGUGAUCGAAAGAUGAAAAGCACUUUGAAAAGAGAGUUAAAAAGUACGUGAAAUUGUUGAAAGGGAAGCGCUUGCGACCAGACUUGCCCGCGGUUGCUCAGCCCUCCGGGCGUACUCUUCCGCGGUCAGGCCAGCAUCGGUUCGGGCGGGCGGACAAAGGCCCCGGGAACGUGGCUCCCUUCGGGGAGUGUUAUAGCCCGGGGCGCAAUGCGCCCUGUCCGGACCGAGGACCGCGCUUUGGCUAGGAUGCUGGCGUAAUGGUCGUAAGCGGCCCGUCUUGAAACACGGACCAAGGAGUCUAACAUCUGUGCGAGUGUUUGGGCGUCAAACCCAUGCGCGUAAUGAAAGUGAACGGAGGUGGGAACCCCUCGGGGCGCACCAUCGACCGAUCCUGAUGUCUUCGGAAGGAUUUGAGUAAGAGCACAGCUGUUGGGACCCGAAAGAUGGUGAACUAUGCCUGAAUAGGGCGAAGCCAGAGGAAACUCUGGUGGAGGCUCGCAGCGGUUCUGACGUGCAAAUCGAUCGUCGAAUUGGGUAUAGGGCGAAAGACUAAUCAAC